GAAGGUGGGGAUGACGUCAAGUCAGUAUGGCCCUUACGGCCAGGGCUGCACACGUACUACAAUGCCUAAUACAAUGGGAAGCAAUACCGUGAGGUGGAGCAAAUCCUCAAAAUUGGGCCCAGUUCGGAUUGUAGUCUGCAACUCGACUACAUGAAGCCGGAAUCGCUAGUAAUGGGGCAUCAGCUACGGCCCCGUGAAUACGUUCCCAGGCCUUGUACACACCGCCCGUCA
RNAcentral lists this ribosomal RNA (231 nucleotides) under Astrosyne radiata. RNAcentral describes it as "partial Bacterial small subunit ribosomal RNA". It matches the Rfam family "Bacterial small subunit ribosomal RNA", at positions 1169 to 1399 of the family's 1533-position model. Lineage: Eukaryota; Bacillariophyta; Fragilariophyceae; Cyclophorales; Cyclophoraceae. The record is from RNAcentral.